CCUACGGGGAGCAGCAGUGAGGAAUAUUGGUCAAUGGACGCAAGUCUGAACCAGCCAUGCCGCGUGCAGGAAGACGGCUCUAUGAGUUGUAAACUGCUUUUGUACGAGGGUAAACGCAGAUACGCGUAUCUGUCUGAAAGUAUCGUACGAAUAAGGAUCGGCUAACACCGUGCCAGCAGCCGCGGUAAUACGGAGGAUUCAAGCGUUAUCCGGAUUUAUUGGGUUUAAAGGGUGCGUAGGCGGUCGGAUAAGUUAGAGGUGAAAUCCCGAGGCUCAACUUCGGAAUUGCCUCUGAUACUGUUCGGCGAGAGAGUAGUUGCGGUAGGCGGAAUGUAUGGUGUAGCGGUGAAAUGCUUAGAGAUCAUACAGAACACCGAUUGCGAAGGCAGCUUACCAAGCUACUUCUGACGUUGAGGCACGAAAGCGUGGGGAGCAAACAGGAUUAGAUACCCGAGUAGUC
This 460-nucleotide ribosomal RNA is filed under the name uncultured bacterium. Its description in RNAcentral is "partial 16S ribosomal RNA". It matches the Rfam family "Bacterial small subunit ribosomal RNA", at positions 338 to 795 of the family's 1533-position model. The record is from RNAcentral.